UUCUGUCGGCGACCGGCGCACGGGUGAGUAACGCGUAUGCAACCUGCCCUUCACAGGGGGAUAACAGUUGGAAACGACUGCUAAUACCGCAUAAUGUAUUUCGGAGGCAUCUCUGGGAUACCAAAGGAGCAAUCCGCUGAAAGAUGGGCUCAUAUCUGAUUAGCUAGUUGGUGAGGUAACGGCUCACCAAGGCUGCGAUCAGUAGCCGGACUGAGAGGUUGAACGGCCACAUUGGGACUGAGAUACGGCCCAGACUCC
RNAcentral lists this ribosomal RNA (258 nucleotides) under uncultured Oscillospiraceae bacterium. RNAcentral describes it as "partial 16S ribosomal RNA". It matches the Rfam family "Bacterial small subunit ribosomal RNA", at positions 83 to 339 of the family's 1533-position model. Lineage: Bacteria; Bacillati; Bacillota; Clostridia; Eubacteriales; Oscillospiraceae. The record is from RNAcentral.